Molecule: ribosomal RNA, 253 nt
Filed under: uncultured bacterium
Lineage: Bacteria
Description: partial 16S ribosomal RNA
Rfam family: Bacterial small subunit ribosomal RNA
Source: RNAcentral
UACGUAGGGGGCAAGCGUUGUCCGGAAUCAUUGGGCGUAAAGAGCGCGUAGGCGGCCCGAUAAGUCCGCUGUGAAAGUCAAGGGCUUAACCCUUGAAUGCCGGUGGAAACUGUCGGGCUAGAGUCCGGAAGAGGCGAGUGGAAUUCCUGGUGUAGCGGUGGAAUGCGCAGAUAUCAGGAGGAACACCAAUAGCGAAGGCAGCUCGCUGGGACGUUACUGACACUGAGGCGCGAAAGCGUGGGGAGCGAACAGG